GAUGAACGCUGGCGGCGUGCCUAAUGCAUGCAAGUCGAGCGAAUGGAUUAAGAGCUUGCUCUUAUGAAGUUAGCGGCGGACGGGUGAGUAACACGUGGGUAACCUGCCCAUAAGACUGGGAUAACUCCGGGAAACCGGGGCUAAUACCGGAUAACAUUUUGAACCGCAUGGUUCGAAAUUGAAAGGCGGCUUCGGCUGUCACUUAUGGAUGGACCCGCGUCGCAUUAGCUAGUUGGUGAGGUAACGGCUCACCAAGGCAACGAUGCGUAGCCGACCUGAGAGUGUGAGCGGCCACACUGGGACUGAGACACGGCCCAGACUCCUACGGGAGGCAGCAGUAGGGAAUCUUCCGCAAUGGACGAAAGUCUGACGGAGCAACGCCGCGUGAGUGAUGAAGGCUUUCGGGUCGUAAAACUCUGUUGUUAGGGAAGAACAAGUGCUAGUUGAAUAAGCUGGCACCUUGACGGUACCUAACCAGAAAGCCACGGCUAACUACGUGCCAGCCGCCGCAGUAA
This 515-nucleotide ribosomal RNA is filed under the name uncultured bacterium. Its description in RNAcentral is "partial 16S ribosomal RNA". It matches the Rfam family "Bacterial small subunit ribosomal RNA", at positions 28 to 523 of the family's 1533-position model. The record is from RNAcentral.